UGUUAAAAAUUUCAUCCAUUUUUACGGUUCAAAACCGGUCACUGAACGUUAGAAUAACAAUACAAUUACACGUAGGUGUGCCAUGUGUAACUCAUUCGGAUGUACAGGGAUCAGUUUUUAAUAGUAGAAAUGGAUAAAAUUUUUGCUC
This is a non-coding RNA of Gossypium raimondii (Peruvian cotton), 148 nucleotides long. NCBI's taxonomy places the organism in Eukaryota, Viridiplantae, Streptophyta, Magnoliopsida, Malvales, Malvaceae. The record is from Rfam.